Long non-coding RNA from Mauremys reevesii (Reeves's turtle), 855 nucleotides. RefSeq lists it as uncharacterized. The record is from RefSeq and is a predicted model, not a curated record. The transcript is spliced from 3 exons. NCBI's taxonomy places the organism in Eukaryota, Metazoa, Chordata, Testudines, Geoemydidae.
CAAGUCUAGGAUUCAUAAAAAGAUUACAGAAAAUCCCCCCUUUGUCACAGCGACCACCCAGAAGAGUCAAUAGAAAACCAUACAAGACAAACAGUAAACAUCGAAACCACUUGGAAGUGAAAAGGAACAACAGACAGCGAGGGGAUUGCCCUGUCUGUGAAUAAUGGCAAAAGAUUGAUUCGCUAUUUUACAGGGUGCAAAGGCUCUCUGCAUCCAUUCACUGAGGCAGUGCCUUAAAACAGUGAGGGGGGAGGGUGCUUCAUGACAGACUGGCUCCUGGAGACUAGCAAGUGCAGCAAAAGACUGAAUUUUGGGGUGAGGAUGAACUUUAUUAGCGAGGAAAGGAUGGCUACCUUUAAACCUGCUAUUGUGUGUCCAGGGAGAUUGCUGAGAUUGCAGGGCAGAGCGGGGGAAGAUGAGAUGAGGGAUCCUUUGACUGAGGCAGCGAGUUCAUUUUCACCCAGGCCAGGUGGCUGACAUGUUUCAGGGAGAGGAGUUCGUCCUGGAAGAUAUCUCGCUGCUGAGGGUGACCUGGGAAGCAAGGGAGGGUCUUCUACUACAAUGCGGCUUCCGCCCUGGCCCAUAUGCAUAUGUGCAUCAAUGGUCCUCCCACUUGUCACGGCACAGUGGCACGGACAUGUUAGCCUGACUGAGACAAGGACCACAGCGGCUCUCCCACUAAACCUGCGCAAGCGCAUUGCCCAAGUUCUGGAUGAGACCUUUGAAGAGAUCACUGAGGUCGAUUACCGCGAUGUAAGAGAACACAUCAAUGCCCUAUUCUGCAUCUAGGCAUGCAUGCAGCCCUAACCCUCCUCACCCCAAGAGCCUGCACUGAAUAACUUCCUUCCCAAAAUA